Molecule: long non-coding RNA, 83 nt
Organism: Sinocyclocheilus anshuiensis
Lineage: Eukaryota; Metazoa; Chordata; Actinopteri; Cypriniformes; Cyprinidae
Exons: 3
Source: RefSeq, a predicted model, not a curated record
ACAAAAUUUUUGGACAGUGCAACUCUGUUGUCAUCGGUGUCCAUACUUCUCUUUGUGAGCAGUGGAAAGUUAUAAAGAGAUUG